Long non-coding RNA from Rattus norvegicus (Norway rat), 2124 nucleotides. The record is from Ensembl. Lineage: Eukaryota; Metazoa; Chordata; Mammalia; Rodentia; Muridae.
CUAAAACCCCUUGACAAGCUACAGACACAACUCCUUGACCCAUUAACAUAAGCAUACAUUGGCUCUAUCGCAGAGGUGGGGUCAUCCCUUACUCAAGAUUAGAUUCAUGGGAAUGUCUACUCACCUUGGCUGGUGCCCAGACAAACUCUUCUGGGAUAGAGGUCAGGAGGUAGCAACUUCCCAAGCCACGCAGCACUUGCCUGGUCCCAAGUGUUAGCAGUAAUAUGUGCCAAAGGCAGACUCUGCUGCUUCCUCCACCAGGUAAAAGGCUACAGAGAUGGCUCAUGGAUGAAGAACUUCUGUCAAAGCUUGAGGAAAAAGGCAGGUUCAGCACUCAGAGGCCAACUGAGGUGCUGGGUAUGAAUGGUGACAUAUGCAGCUCUUUACUGGAAACUAUAGAAGGCUCUCAAGUUUGAGGCCUGCCUGGGCUGCAUAGAAGCUUGAAAACAACAGCAACAACAACAAAAAGACCAAGACAAGCCCAGUGCUCAGUGGCUCAGUUGCAGAAGACCCCACGGGUGCUGCAAGAGACCAGCUGGAACGGCUCGAGGACCGCCCGGGUCAGAGAGUACUUGGGCAGUGUGGAGCUGCUGAGAUGAAAGUAUCCCACAGUGCCAUGGGCCUAUGGGUGCCAGCGCUAGCCCAGGAUAAAAAGCUUCCUUGUGCCGGUUUGUCAAACCUGGUCUGUGGUUUCCACUGGAACUGGAGAUGAGUUUGCCUCCUUGAUGGACUCCAAACCCUUCAACACCUGGUGGCCUGACUUCACUUUCAACCUGUGCCAGCAGGCAGCAGGACUUGACUGCUGGGACAUCCCCACCCAUGAUGGGAGCACUGGCGGAAGCAAACUGCACAUAUGGGAGAAAGAGGGCUCUGGGCUGGGGUUAGGGGGUGGGCUGUAGGAUGUGCAUUCCCUGCACAGAUAUCGCCUGCAGGAGACCCCACUUAAGUUUGCCCUCGAGAUGGAAGAAGCCGGGCAGAAGUUCACCGAUGUGGGGGUCCAGACUAGUUUUAUUGACCAGCCUGGGAAUGCCACACUACAGGAGACACCUACUGGAACCCCUCCUCUUCUUGGGACUUGAUCAUGGAAAAAAAUUAUACUAUAGGGGGACCCUAUCUGGGGGACCAAGGGUAUUGGGAUACUCCCUGGGCAAACACCACCUGUAACCCAAUAAUAAUCAGAUUCACUCAGAAAGGCAAAGAAGCAACAGGAUGGCUAAAGGGAAAAACUUGGGGACUCAGGUUGUACAAAUUGGGGUAUGAUGAUGGCCAAGGUGAGAAAAGGGAUAGCCAAACAGAAAAAGAGAAAGAGAGCAGUCAGAGCUGGUUCGAGUCUUGGUUUAACUCGUCUCCUUGGCUAACCACCCUCAUAUCCACCUUGUUAAGACCCCCUCUUUGUUCUGCUAUUGUUGACCUUUGGACCCCGCAUAUUGAACAAGUUUAUAGCCUUCAUAAAAGAGAGAAUGGGGAGCAGUGCAGCUGAUGGUCCUGCACCAAUAAUAUGAGACCCUGAGGACAGGACCUGAAGAAUAUGAGUUAGUCAUCAGAGGCCCCUGAGUGUAGCUCCAAGAUUAGAGCUUGUACAAGAAAAAGGGACCCUUAGGGCUUUCACCAGCCUUACACCCACCUGCCUUGGGACAAGGCUAGGCCAAGUUCCAUUGUCCACCCACAGGAAUAUUCUUCAGUAAAAAAAGUUCUCAGAAUGUACUGACCAAUGCUUGCUAGCCAAUAGAUUUAAAGGUCAAUAUGAUUAGCCAAUAAGUUUAAACUGUAACCUUACUGAUAUAACCUGUGCUCCUGAAAAGUAUAAAAACUGCUUGCUAGAGUCAUUCGGGAUCACCUUCUAGUCACUCGACACGAGGGACUGAUUGAAGGUUGACCCCGACACACCAGAAAAUAAACCUCUUUUACAUCGAUCUGCUUCUUGGUGUCUCACUCAUGGGUGUCUUGAAGUAAGUACCACUGACCGAGGGUUGAGGUCUUACGGCAUGACAAUAUAUGGCUGAAUCACAGCAUUUGAGAGGAAGAUUGGGAAUUCAAGGUCCUCCUCUGCUUCUUAGUGAGUUCAAGGCUAACUUGACCUUCUUGUGACCCUGACUCAAAAACAAACAGGCCUGCCAGAGUCGG